GAUGAACGCUGGCGGCGUGCCUAAUACAUGCAAGUCGAGCGAACAGACGAGGAGCUUGCUCCUUUGAUGUUAGCGGCGGACGGGUGAGUAACACGUGGAUAACCUACCUAUAAGACUGGGAUAACUUCGGGAAACCGGAGCUAAUACCGGAUAACAUGCUGAACCGCAUGGUUCAACAGUGAAAGACGGUCUUGCUGUCACUUAUAGAUGGAUCCGCGCCGCAUUAGCUAGUUGGUAAGGUAACGGCUUACCAAGGCAACGAUGCGUAGCCGACCUGAGAGGGUGAUCGGCCACACUGGAACUGAGACACGGUCCAGACUCCUACGGGAGGCAGCAGUAGGGAAUCUUACGCAAUGGGCGAAAGCCUGACGGAGCAACGCCGCGUGAGUGAAGAAGGUCUUCGGAUCGUAAAACUCUGUUAUUAGGGAAGAACAAAUGUGUAAGUACCUAUGCACGUCUUGACGGUACCUAAUCAGAAAGCCACGGCUAACUACGUG
RNAcentral lists this ribosomal RNA (497 nucleotides) under uncultured bacterium. Its description in RNAcentral is "partial 16S ribosomal RNA". It matches the Rfam family "Bacterial small subunit ribosomal RNA", at positions 28 to 507 of the family's 1533-position model. The record is from RNAcentral.